CCUAAUUUUGUAGAAUUUUUUUAGCUCAAUUAUAUUCUUCCAAGAGGCCCAAUUUCAAGCCCUACAAAACUUAGCUUAUACCCCUUUUCUUUAAGAAAAAAAACCUACACUUCAUCACUUCAUCUUCUUCUCAUUACACAAUUAGACAAAAAGGAGAGAUAAAAACCAUGGCUGCCCUAUCUUCUUCAACAACAACAAACCUAGCUGAACCUUUACAACAAUGGAGAAACAACCUUGAAGAGCCCUAGAAGACCUCAGCCGCCGUCGCCGCCAUCCUUAUGACUGAAUUUGCCGUCGCCUCUGCUGCUUCUUCAGUUCAUGCCAAAUGACCAGUGACCAGCCAUAGCCAAAACUCGCCAUACACCAACAGCCACUCCAAGCCCAGCGACCACCAACUCAAUUUUCAUCCACUUCUACUUCUUCACCAUCCCUUCUCCACGCCGUCGACCAGCCAAAUUCCAACGACCCUCCAAAUAUUUAUCUUCUUCUUCAUCUCUGAAUACACUCACACAUAAAAAUCAAAGAUAAGGAAAACAAAAAAGGAACGAAGAGGGGAGGCGAUUUGGAUUGAGGCGAGGUUUCCGUUCGAGUUCCGCACUUGAGCGGGUCCGGUUUGUAGUUCAUUUGAUUCUGUCCGAAAUUUUGAUUUGCAAUUUGAAUCCAGUGAUUCUCAAACUUUAAGGGAAAUCUUAACUCAACAGGUUAUACUCAUCUCUUUUCUCCUCUUGCCUUCGUUGCUACUGAUUGAGUUUUAAAUAACCAUUCAAGGGUGAUUAGAUUUCUGUGGCUAAGUUGUUUGGACAAUUUGAGUGAUUCCAUAAAAUUUGCUUGUCCAGAAAGUGACAAUUGUUGCUUGUUUGUUAUAGUUUUGUAUUACGUUUAUGAGUAAUUUAGAACUCAAUCCAUGUUUUCCGAUCCAUGAUUUGGUGGUUGAAAUUUUGUUGAAAGUCUGCUAACUGAAGCAUGAUUUUUGAAUUAAUGGACCAUGUUUAUUGUGGUUUAAAUUGGAAAUCAAGCAUUGAGAUUUUGAGAAGAUUGAAUUUGGGGUCAGAAUUGGAUAUUAUAAAAUAACAAACAAAAAUUGAUUUUUAAAAAAAAUGAUUCAAUUACUUUACUUUUCUUAAUAAUCGUUAGGAACAUGUUUAGGACGAUCACAUUCGGGUAGGCAAGCUAAAGGGUUUUGUUAGUUUCGAGGCGAGAAGUCUGUUUUCGUAGUUAAAUUUAUUCUAAGAAUGCCCUGACAAACUUAUAUAUAUUAUUAUCCGGGGUAUGCCCCGAGGAACUAUGUAAAUAUUUUGGAGGCCUUGACGAGCAUGGCGGAGAAGUCGUAGUAUAUGUUAGCUUAGGAUGUUUCUUGUUUUUUUUUUUUUCAUUUUCUUUCAUUUAGAUGGGGACAACCUCGAACCUCUUGUGUGUUUAUUUUAUUUCUGUGUGUGUUACCUCAAUUCGAAUAUUUUAGAAAGCCAACUUGAUUCGGUACACAACUUUGACUUUCACGGGACAUGGGGAGUACCUAACACCUUCUCCCCGAGUCAAAUGAACCCCCUUACCUAAAUAUGUAGUGUAGACUUAGUUUUGGUGUCUUAAGUGUUUGAAAGGAAAAAUUAUUUUUAAAAAUAUGGUGACCUGAUAUACCGAAAUCAAAAUCAGGUGGCGACUCUGAGUUUAUUUUCUUUGAAGAACAAUUUUGUCACUUUUCAAAUGGAAAACCCUUUUCAAGAUUUUUACUAAAUCCUUUUAUUUAAUUUAAGAGGGUUAAGUAGAGGUUUGUUUAAAAAAAAGGGUGUGAUAUCUUUGGCGACUCUGCUGGGGACUUGCAGGUUCGAGCUAGUACUUGAUCUUGUUGGCUUUUAGGAUGUUCGGUUGAGGUUUUUAUGUGUUUUGCUUGAUUUAUUUGAUUUUUAUUUUUGUUUAUGUCUUUUUAGUAUUUGCUAGUUGCUUACUUGUUUACAUAUUUUUGCUUUAUGUGUUUACUUCUUUAUAACUGUCAUCAUUUGCAUAACCCCGAGUCUUCUUUCUGCAAUAAGUCUUCCGGAGUACGUGAGCGUACACAGCCUAUUUGUGAGUCACUUGUGUCAUUAAGGGGGUGGCAUGGGAGUGUGGAGUGGGCGGACAACUAGAGCAACCACCAUCGACCACAUGCCGCCCCAUAUUGCCUUUUCUAGUGAACCCUAAACCUAGGUCAGCCUUUAGGAUAUUUGUAUUUGCAUCAUGUCAUUUAAACUUAGCAGAGUUCGGUCCCAGACACCAUGUCUCAUUGUAGGAGGCCUAUCCAAAUUAUGUCAAAAAUAGGUUUAUGGCCCAAAAAGACAUGUAAUCAUCCAUAUGUGAUACAUGUUGCAUUUCUUUAAGGGUAAAUGGGUCAUAUGGCGGACCAAAGAUAUUUGAGAGUGAAAUAUAAAAUGAAGUAAGUGAUUUUACACUUUUCCAUUAUUUUCUAAAAAUGAAAAAGAAAAACCAAAAAGGUUUUACACUUUCCCAUUAUUUUCCAAAAGGACAAAAAAAAUCCAAAAAGAUUUUUAUACUUUCCCAUUAUUUUUCAAAAAUUAAAAAAAAAAUGAAAAUCCAAAAAGAUUAACAUUUUUCCAUUAUUUUCCAAAAUUCGAAAAAGGAAAAAAAAAGAAGAAAAUCAAAAAGAUGUUGCAUUUUCCAUCAUUUUUUCAAAAAGACAAAAAAUAUCUUUUUUCAAAUUAGAUGCAUUUUUUGAAUUCUAUCAUAUAUUUAAUCUUCCCGAACUACGCGAAUCUGAUUCUCGUCUUUCGGGGCAAGAUACGUAGGUAACCCACAUAGGGUCCGGUCUUCCUAGUGUCUUAGGUUCUUGCUUUGUGGGGUCUUUGCCAAAUCUUACAUGUGUAGCCACUUGUGGCCAUAUCGGCCAUUGUUGCAAAAUGAGAUCAUUUUCGCAAAAGUGGUUCAAUAACCCGUGUCUUAGGAUCUUGAGUCCAUAACUAGGUGACAUGUUACUUUAAGGACCGUUUUUAUUUUGCAUCUUUAGCCACUUCUGGCCAUAUCGGCUCUUUUCGUGAAAUGGGUUAUUUCUGCAAAUUAAAAUUUGGGGGGCCAUGAUACUGGCAGUUUGAAUUCAUAAAAGUCCUAUCCCGUCCUUAAACUACUUUUCCUAAGCCCCAGGCAUCCGGUUACCUUUGCGGAGAGUCAUUUUCCAUGUCCAUGAGGUCAAUUGUGUUGAGUUUGCGUAGAUAGCCACUCUUGGCCAUGUAGGUUAAUUUUCAAAAAUAGCCCAAUCCUGUCGUGCAAGUGUCCUAUAUGAGGUGCGGUCUCACAUAGUGUCUCGAGUCAUUUAUUCUGUUUGGCUUUGUUUUUCUCAUUUAGGUAUGGAUUCAUUUUCCACAGCUCGAGAAUGAUUGAUAUCCCAAGACCACUGCAUUCAGAAGCUACUUGAGGAGACUUUUUAUAUUUUGAGCAUGUUUUUGAGUCUUUAUGUGGUUUUACAGUUUUUCUAGUCUUUUGUUA
This 3471-nucleotide long non-coding RNA is filed under the name Nicotiana benthamiana. RNAcentral describes it as "long non-coding RNA (NBEN_LNC026740)". The record is from RNAcentral. Lineage: Eukaryota; Viridiplantae; Streptophyta; Magnoliopsida; Solanales; Solanaceae.